GUAGGUGGCAAGCGUUGUCCGGAAUUAUUGGGCGUAAAGCGUGCGCAGGCGGUUCUUUAAGUCUGAUGUGAAAGCCCACGGCUCAACCGUGGAGGGUCAUUGGAAACUGGAGAACUUGAGUACAGAAGAGGAAAGCGGAAUUCCACGUGUAGCGGUGAAAUGCGUAGAGAUGUGGAGGAACACCAGUGGCGAAGGCGGCUUUCUGGUCUGUAACUGACGCUGAGGCGCGAAAGCGUGGGGAGCAAACAGGAUUAGAUACCCUGGUAGUCCACGCCGUAAACGAUGAGUGCUAAGUGUUAGGGGGUUUCCGCCCCCCUUAGUGCUGCAGCUAACGCAUUAAGCACUCCGCCUGGGAGUACGGCCGCAAGGCUG
RNAcentral lists this ribosomal RNA (372 nucleotides) under uncultured organism. Its description in RNAcentral is "partial 16S ribosomal RNA". It matches the Rfam family "Bacterial small subunit ribosomal RNA", at positions 527 to 896 of the family's 1533-position model. The record is from RNAcentral.